RNAcentral lists this ribosomal RNA (524 nucleotides) under uncultured bacterium. RNAcentral describes it as "bacterial SSU rRNA". It matches the Rfam family "Bacterial small subunit ribosomal RNA", at positions 8 to 526 of the family's 1533-position model. The record is from RNAcentral.
AGAGUUUGAUCAUGGCUCAGGACGAACGCUGGCGGCGUGCUUAACACAUGCAAGUGGAGCGACGAACCGGGCUUCGGCCCGGGGCAAAGCCGCGAACGGGUGAGUAUCACGUGGGUAACCUGCCCCGAUGACCGGGACAACCCGAGGAAACUCGGGCUAAUACCGGAUGUUCUCGCUUCUCGUAAGGGAAGUGAGUAAAGAUAGCUUCGGCCUUCGCAUCGGGACGGGCCCGCGGCCCAUUAGCUUGUUGGUGAGGUAACGGCUCACCAAGGCUCCGAUGGGUAGCUGGUCUGAGAGGAUGGCCAGCCACAUUGGGACUGAGAGACGGCCCAGACUCCUACGGGAGGCAGCAGUGGGGAAUCUUGCGCAAUGGCCUAACGGCUGACGCAGCGACGCCGCGUGCGGGAGGACGCCCUUCGGGGUGUAAACCGCUGUUGCCCGGGACGAACAGCUGGUCUCGACCAGCCUGACGGUACCGGGUGAGGAAGCACCGGCUAACUCCGUGCCAGCAGCGGCGGUAAUAC